CCCCUGGGUCCUACUCCAUCCUCCAGCCU
RNAcentral lists this non-coding RNA (29 nucleotides) under Homo sapiens (human). Lineage: Eukaryota; Metazoa; Chordata; Mammalia; Primates; Hominidae. The record is from RNAcentral.